This 57-nucleotide transfer RNA is filed under the name Oxyrrhis marina. RNAcentral's name for it is "partial tRNA". Lineage: Eukaryota; Dinophyceae; Oxyrrhinales; Oxyrrhinaceae. The record is from RNAcentral.
CGUGGCCGAGUGGUGAAGACGCCAAGCUAAUAACCUGGUGGUCGCAGGUUCGAGCCC